This 581-nucleotide ribosomal RNA is filed under the name Saccharomyces cerevisiae (brewer's yeast). RNAcentral's name for it is "eukaryotic LSU rRNA". It matches the Rfam family "Eukaryotic large subunit ribosomal RNA", at positions 73 to 671 of the family's 3401-position model. Lineage: Eukaryota; Fungi; Ascomycota; Saccharomycetes; Saccharomycetales; Saccharomycetaceae. The record is from RNAcentral.
GUUUCCAUGUUGCAGAGUGAGCGGCAAAAGCUCAAAUUUGAAAUCUAGCACCUUCGGUGUUCGAGUUGUAAUUUGAAGAUGGUAACCUUGGGUUUGGCUCUUGUCUAUGUUCCUUGGAACAGGACGUCAUAGAGGGUGAGAAUCCCGUCUGAUGAGAUGCCCAUUCCUAUGUAAGGUGCUAUCGAAGAGUCGAGUUGUUUGGGAAUGCAGCUCUAAGUGGGUGGUAAAUUCCAUCUAAAGCUAAAUAUUGGCGAGAGACCGAUAGCGAACAAGUACAGUGAUGGAAAGAUGAAAAGAACUUUGAAAAGAGAGUGAAAAAGUACGUGAAAUUGUUGAAAGGGAAGGGCAUUAGAUCAGACUUGGUGUUUUACGAUUAUCUUCUCUUCUUGAGUUGUGCACUCGUAUUUCACUGGGCCAGCAUCGAUUCGGAUGGCAAGAUAAUGGCAGUUGAAUGUGGCUUCACUUCGGUGGAGUGUUAUAGCUUCUGCUGAUAUUGCCUGUCUGGAUCGAGGGCUGCGUCUUUUGACUAGGAUGCUGGCGUAAUGAUCUAAUGCCGCCCGUCUUGAAAACACGGACCAAAA